RNAcentral lists this ribosomal RNA (251 nucleotides) under Klebsiella pneumoniae. RNAcentral describes it as "partial 23S ribosomal RNA". It matches the Rfam family "Bacterial large subunit ribosomal RNA", at positions 944 to 1196 of the family's 2925-position model. The record is from RNAcentral. Lineage: Bacteria; Pseudomonadati; Pseudomonadota; Gammaproteobacteria; Enterobacterales; Enterobacteriaceae.
CCGAUGCAAACUACGAAUACCGAAGAAUGUUAUCACGGGAGACACACGGCGGGUGCUAACGUCCGUCGUGAAGAGGGAACAACCCAGACCGCCAGCUAAGGUCCCAAAGUCAUGGUUAAGUGGGAAACGAUGUGGGAAGGCACAGACAGCCAGGAUGUUGGCUUAGAAGCAGCCAUCAUUAAAGAAAGCGUAAUAGCUCACUGGUCGAGUCGGCCUGCGCGGAAGAUGUAACGGGGCUAAACCAUGCACCG